This 496-nucleotide long non-coding RNA is filed under the name Ananas comosus (pineapple). RNAcentral describes it as "long non-coding RNA (ACOM_LNC019997)". The record is from RNAcentral. Lineage: Eukaryota; Viridiplantae; Streptophyta; Magnoliopsida; Poales; Bromeliaceae.
AUAUCACUACAACAGAAUUAGGUUAUAGGGACACAUGUUUGGGACACUUUUGAGUAAGUGUCCCAUUUAUGCUAAAACUUAAAAAAACAUCUACUAAUGCCUAAAUAUAAAGCCCAAUCCAACCAAAAAUAAAAGAUUACUCUACUCAACCCACCACACCCAGUCCAUUUGGCCCGAUUACAAACAAAAAAAAAAAAAAAAAGAAAAAUCAAUUACCAUCUUUUCUUCUCUCUUCACUCAAUCUACUGAAAUUCUAGACGAAGAGCCUUUCCUGUCGUCCUCCUCCGCCACCGCAGCCAAUGAGAUAGAGUUUCGGCGGUUGUUAAAUGCUUAAAUAAGUGUUGGUAAAUUAGCAGCACUCUUUUAGGUUAUAGCGACACUCUUUAACUGUCACAAUAUACCUAGCGACCCCACAUAUAGCAGCACUUUUUAAAAGUGUCGGUAAUUUUAGCUAGCAGCACUUUUUUGACAUAUACCUACAUUUAAAAGUGUCGCU